CUCCGCAACGAGCGACGCUCCCAACGCGACCCCAGGUCAGGCGGGAUUACCCGCUGAAUUUAAGCAUAUCAAUAAGCGGGAGGGA
RNAcentral lists this ribosomal RNA (85 nucleotides) under Girardinia diversifolia subsp. diversifolia. RNAcentral describes it as "partial 28S ribosomal RNA". Lineage: Eukaryota; Viridiplantae; Streptophyta; Magnoliopsida; Rosales; Urticaceae. The record is from RNAcentral.